Molecule: long non-coding RNA, 398 nt
Filed under: Athene cunicularia (burrowing owl)
Lineage: Eukaryota; Metazoa; Chordata; Aves; Strigiformes; Strigidae
Description: lncRNA (ENSACUG00000005246.1)
Source: RNAcentral
UUCCUCUGCUCUGGCUUGCCGGCUUGCCUGCCCACAGACUGCUACUUGCUAUAUCCAGUAUGUGCACAUUGCUGUCAACGGGAGAAAUGCUGUAGGACCUUGAACUAGUGGGGAAGGGGUCCUGGGCUAGUUCAGCAUCCAAGUCUACUCUAGUACUAUCACCAAGGGCUUUUCCCAGCAUGCAGUCCCUUUAGAUUUGGGUGUGACAACUAACCACAUCCUGCGUGUUGGACGUUUGGUUUGCAUCCCUGUAUCUUCCUGCUUUUGUGAAAGAUACAAUCUUACAUUGUCCUGGACAAAGGAAAAUUUGAUCACUGCCAGACUUUUCAUCUCUUCAUUGUGAUGGAAAAAUGGUUGCCUAAAAUAAACCCUUUGUUAUGCUGCUAAAACUGCUUUUG